AUCAACUUUCGAUGGUAGGAUAGAGGCCUACCAUGGUGGUAACGGGUAACGGGGUGUUAGGGCACGACACCGGAGAGGGAGCCUGAGAAACGGCUACCACAUCCAAGGAUGGCAGCAGGCGCGCAAAUUACCCAAUCCCGACACGGGGAGGUAGUGACAAUAAAUAACAAUACGGGGUCCUUUCGGGUUUCGUAAUUGGAAUGAGUACAAUUUAAAUCUCUUAACGAGGAACAAUUGGAGGGCAAGUCUGGUGCCAGCAGCCGCGGUAAUUCCAGCUCCAAUAGCGUAUAUUAAAGUUGUUGCAGUUAAAAAGCUCGUAGUUGAAUUUCGGGACUAGUACGCUGGUCGUGCCUUCGGUAUGUACUGGUGUUACUGGUUCCUACCUUCUGACGAACCGUCAUGUCAUUAAUUUGGUGUGGCGGGAAAUCAGGACUGUUACUUUGAAAAAAUUAGAGUGUUUAAAGCAGGCUCGCGCUUGAAUACAUUAGCAUGGAAUAAUGAAAUAGGACGUUCGAUCCUAUUUUGUUGGUUUCUAGGAUUGACGUAAUGAUUAAUAGGGAUAGUUGGGGGCAUUAGUAUUCAAUUGUCAGAGGUGAAAUUCUUGGAUUUAUUGAAGACUAACUACUGCGAAAGCAUUUGCCAAGGAUGUUUUCAUUAAUCAAGAACGAAAGUUAGGGGAUCGAAGACGAUCAGAUACCGUCGUAGUCUUAACCAUAAACUAUGCCGACUAGGGAUCGGAUGAUGUUAUUUUUAAUGACUCAUUCGGCGCCUUACGGGAAACCAAAGUGUUUGGGUUC
RNAcentral lists this ribosomal RNA (797 nucleotides) under uncultured Glomeromycotina. RNAcentral describes it as "SSU rRNA". It matches the Rfam family "Eukaryotic small subunit ribosomal RNA", at positions 314 to 1114 of the family's 1831-position model. The record is from RNAcentral. Lineage: Eukaryota; Fungi; Glomeromycota.